CUGGCGGCGUGCCUAACACAUGCAAGUCGAGCGAGAAUUGCGGACGGAGGACUCGGUUGAAGGAAGCAAAGGAAAGCGGCGGACGGGUGAGUAACGCGUGAGUAACCUGCCUUUAGGAGGGGGACAACAUCUCGAAAGGGAUGCUAAUACCGCAUGAUAUAACAAAGUCGCAUGGCUUUGUUAUCAAAGAUUUAUCGCCUAAAGAUGGACUCGCGUCUGAUUAGCUAGUUGGUGGGGUAAAGGCUCACCAAGGCGACGAUCAGUAGCCGAACUGAGAGGUUGAUCGGCCACAUUGGGACUGAGACACGGCCCAGACUCCUACGGGAGGCAGCAGUGGGGGAUAUUGCGCCAAUGGGGGGAACCCUGACGCAGCAACGCCGCGUGAAGGAAGAAGGUUUUCGGAUCGUAAACUUCUUUAAGUGGGGAAGAUAAUGACGGUACCCACAGAAUAAGCCACGGCUAACUACGUGCCAGCCGCCGC
RNAcentral lists this ribosomal RNA (481 nucleotides) under uncultured bacterium. RNAcentral's name for it is "bacterial SSU rRNA". It matches the Rfam family "Bacterial small subunit ribosomal RNA", at positions 36 to 518 of the family's 1533-position model. The record is from RNAcentral.